GCGACGUCCGGCUGGGCGAAGACAGCGAGGCCUACGAGGUCGCGGUGCUGGCGGAUGGACAGGUCGUGCGGACGUUCGAGGCGUCGGCGCCGCA
This 94-nucleotide transfer RNA is filed under the name Hansschlegelia plantiphila. RNAcentral's name for it is "tRNA-Arg". Lineage: Bacteria; Pseudomonadati; Pseudomonadota; Alphaproteobacteria; Hyphomicrobiales; Methylopilaceae. The record is from RNAcentral.